CCCCCCCCCCCCUCCCUCUGUUGUUGACUUAUUUGUCCUAGUCAGCAUAAUGCCUUGUAGGUGUGUACUUAAAUGCAUUGUGUGUUUGUCAGCCUAUACUCCAACCCUCUCCUUGCCUUACUGGAGAUCUCUCCACUAAUCCCAAAGUUGAUUUAGAUAUACGAGUCCUUGCGCUACAAAUCAAAAUUGUGUCUUAACUGAAAAUGUUAGAUAUUCACUUACGUAGACCGAUACCCAAACUCUGACAAAUUUCAAAUUCCCAUUAUUAAAAAACUUUUCAUACUUGAUCUCGACCAUAGUCAUAUGCAGGCAGGUAAAAUUAUGUGUAUGUAGAUGUCAUCCUAGCUAAUUUGAUGACAAGGUAUGCAGAUACAAUUUUUUUUUACAAUUAAAUAUCGAUGCAUCUUAUACAUUUGUUUUGACAUUGUUUAUUUCUUUUAACAUUGCAUGUCAUACGAAUUGUUAGGUUAAGUGUUUAACUUUUUUCUAUUUGCUUUUUUAUAAGGUCGUUUGUGAAUAGGUUUAUUCUCCACCUGGUAACUAUUCGCUUUUUCUGCUGCUAUUGUUUUCUAUCCUUUUCACCUUGCUGAAAGAAUCAAUCAGAGAUCUUUUGCUCGUGAGUGGUAUGCAAAAUGAUAGGUGCUUAAUGGUGCCAACCUAGUGUGGAGUCCCCCUUUCUAUGGGUUUUAUGUAGAGCUUAUGAUUCUUACUGAAACCGUUCUACUUUUAAAAUCUGAAGUAAAAGUUGUUUGAUAUUCAUCUGAUAGAUCUUUAUUAGAGUUUUCUUAAAUCUAGUUCUUAGGAAAAAAAAGUCCCAAAGCUAGUUGGGAUUACGAGUGAUGAGUGGUGGUACUUCAAUGUCUGCUUUGCUUGUGUGCAGUGUGUUUAGUUUGCAUGUAUAUGUAUGAGAAAUUUAGCAUAUUCUGUGACCCUUGCAUCUCAAAAUGUUGUGUUUGUGAUCCGAAUUUUUUCAUGUUAUCAUCCUUUCUUUUUUCAGAUAAUCUUGAAUUUUUUCACUAGUUUUGCAGGUUCAGGUUCCCCUGCUUCAUCAGGAUAAGGCCUUGCUCUUAUGACACUUACCAUGAAAUUUAUGUACAGGUUGUUGGGUGCUCUUUAACUGGAGUUAUUUACAGGAUUUAACAGAUAAAGUGGAAUGCAAGUGCUUCUUCAACAGACAGCAAAGUACCUGAUGGUGUCCGUUUGGUGAUUUCUUUUUAUUGUUUUUUUUCUCUCAGGGUGCAGGUUUAUCUUGAAAAAGAGUAGGAAAUAGGUGGAACUUUUCUCUAGUGCUUUGAGGAAGAAUUGUCUUUUUAUUUCAGUUCUGAAGAACACUUCUAUCUGUUUUUUUUUUUCUAGUAAAUGAAUUUCUGAAUGUUACCCUAGAUUUCUUAUGACUUGUGUACAUUUUGCUCGUGUGUAUUUUGUUUCUUAUAUAACUGUAGCUGGUGUUUUUUAUUCUUAUAUAACUGUAGCUAAUGGCAUGAACUUCGAAAUGCAUCUUGGGAGACAACUAUUGCAUCGGU
This 1523-nucleotide long non-coding RNA is filed under the name Aquilegia coerulea. Its description in RNAcentral is "long non-coding RNA (ACOE_LNC001294)". Lineage: Eukaryota; Viridiplantae; Streptophyta; Magnoliopsida; Ranunculales; Ranunculaceae. The record is from RNAcentral.